UGCCUUUGUGUUGCCCAUUCAUUUUACUUUCUAGAUGAAUGUGGUGUCAAACAAGGCGUACAGUAACUUUUGCAUAAAUCUUGGAGGGGUACUUUAACUAUGUACCUUAACCAUUGUACCUAAUUAUUUAAAUGCACAAACACUG
This 145-nucleotide small nucleolar RNA is filed under the name Erpetoichthys calabaricus (reedfish). RNAcentral's name for it is "Small nucleolar RNA SNORA13 (ENSECRG00000013452.1)". It matches the Rfam family "Small nucleolar RNA SNORA13". From Rfam's summary of the family: ACA13 is a member of the H/ACA class of snoRNA that guide the sites of modification of uridines to pseudouridines. Lineage: Eukaryota; Metazoa; Chordata; Cladistia; Polypteriformes; Polypteridae. The record is from RNAcentral.